This 492-nucleotide ribosomal RNA is filed under the name uncultured bacterium. RNAcentral describes it as "partial 16S ribosomal RNA". It matches the Rfam family "Bacterial small subunit ribosomal RNA", at positions 29 to 507 of the family's 1533-position model. The record is from RNAcentral.
AGUGAACGCUGGCGGUAGGCCUAACACAUGCAAGUCGAACGGCAGCACAGUAAGAGCUUGCUCUUACGGGUGGCGAGUGGCGGACGGGUGAGGAAUACAUCGGAAUCUACUUUUUCGGGGGGGAUAACGUAGGGAAACUUACGCUAAUACCGCAUACGACCUACGGGUGAAAGCAGGGGAUCUUCGGACCUUGCGCGAUUGAAUGAGCCGAUGUCGGAUUAGCUAGUUGGCGGGGUAAAGGCCCACCAAGGCGACGAUCCGUAGCUGAUCUGAGAGGAUGAUCAGCCACACUGGAACUGAGACACGGUCCAGACUCCUACGGGAGGCAGCAGUGGGGAAUAUUGGACAAUGGGCGCAAGCCUGAUCCAGCCAUACCGCGUGGGUGAAGAAGGCCUUCGGGUUGUAAAGCCCUUUUGUUGGGAAAGAAAAGCAGCAGGUUAAUACCCCGCUGUUCUGACGGUACCCAAAGAAUAAGCACCGGCUAACUUCGUG